This 156-nucleotide unclassified non-coding RNA is filed under the name uncultured Pleosporales. RNAcentral describes it as "sequence contains ITS2". Lineage: Eukaryota; Fungi; Ascomycota; Dothideomycetes; Pleosporales. The record is from RNAcentral.
ACACCCUCAAGCUUCGCUUGGUGUUGGGCGUCUGUCCCGCCUCUGUGCGCGGACUCGCCUCAAAGUCAUUGGCAGCGGUCUCGCCGGCUCCUCGCGCAGCACAUUUGCGCUUCUCGGAGAAAACGGUGGAUCCGCGCUCCAGCAAGACCUUUCAUG